This 214-nucleotide long non-coding RNA is filed under the name Lathyrus oleraceus (garden pea). RNAcentral's name for it is "Pisum sativum (pea) long non-coding RNA (PSAT_LNC015483)". Lineage: Eukaryota; Viridiplantae; Streptophyta; Magnoliopsida; Fabales; Fabaceae. The record is from RNAcentral.
GAGAAGUGAGUUUUUUUUUAUGAAAGGGUGAAAAUAUGAAAAGAAACAAGAAAAAGAAAUCACCCUUGAAACCAUAGAGCAAAGAAAAAGAAAAGAAAGAAAAAACAAAGAAAAGGUUCAUGGUUGUGUGGAUGUAAAAAGAAAAAGAAAAGAAAAAGACGUUGAUCAAAGAAAUGGAAAUUGUGUAGAUUUAAAUGUAUGGAAAUGCUCCCUU